Molecule: ribosomal RNA, 403 nt
Filed under: uncultured bacterium
Lineage: Bacteria
Description: bacterial SSU rRNA
Rfam family: Bacterial small subunit ribosomal RNA
Source: RNAcentral
CCAGACUCCUACGGGAGGCAGCAGUGGGGGAUAUUGCACAAUGGGGGGAACCCUGAUGCAGCGACGCCGCGUGGGUGAAGGAGCGUUUCGGCGCGUAAAGCCCUAUCGGCAGGGAAGAAGGAGGACGGUACCUGACUAAGAAGCCCCGGCUAACUACGUGGCAGCAGCCGCGGGAAUACGUAGGGGGCAAGCGUUAUCCGGAUUUACUGGGUGUAAAGGGAGCGCAGACGGCAGUGCAAGUCUGGAGUGAAAGCCCGGGGCCCAACCCCGGGACUGCUCUGGAAACUGUCCGGCUGGAGUACGGGAGGGGCGGGCGUGAUUCCUAGUGUAGCGGUGAAAUGCGUAGAUAUUAGGAGGAACACCAGUGGCGAAGGCGUCUUACUGGACCUAAACUGACGUUGAG